Molecule: ribosomal RNA, 121 nt
Filed under: uncultured bacterium
Lineage: Bacteria
Description: partial 16S ribosomal RNA
Rfam family: Bacterial small subunit ribosomal RNA
Source: RNAcentral
UGGGGAAUAUUGGACAAUGGGCGAAAGCCUGAUCCAGCAAUGCCGCGUGAGUGAUGAAGGCCUUAGGGUUGUAAAGCUCUUUUACCAGGGAUGAUAAUGACAGACCUGAGAAUUUUUUAGA